Molecule: transfer RNA, 67 nt
Filed under: Portunus armatus
Lineage: Eukaryota; Metazoa; Arthropoda; Malacostraca; Decapoda; Portunidae
Description: tRNA-Trp
Source: RNAcentral
AGGAUUUUAAGUUAUAUAAACUAAAGGCCUUCAAAGCCUAAAAAAAAGGAAUUUCUUUUAAAUCCUA